This is a long non-coding RNA of Junco hyemalis (dark-eyed junco), 2157 nucleotides long. The record is from Ensembl. Lineage: Eukaryota; Metazoa; Chordata; Aves; Passeriformes; Passerellidae.
AGGGAAAAAGAGCUAAGAAAUAAUUUUGGUCCAAACAUUUAGGUUCUUCCUUCUUAACAAAUGCUGCUGCUGCUGCUGCUGCUGCUGCUGCUGCUGCUGCUGAGAAAACCCAUGGACUGUGUGAUUCUUAAGAUUUGCUUCUUGAAGAUUUUCUUACGUUUAGAGUAGUUGUCCACUCUUGCUCCCAUAGUCAGGUCUCACACAACUCAUCUCUCAGCUGUUCCAAAGACAGAGGUAAAGCCAUGAAUUUGGAGGUGAGGAGGCAGCACCACAAAUGGCCCCUGUCUGAUCAGGCAAAGGCUGCCCACAUCCUGCAUCACCUAACAUGCCAUGUCACAGAUGGGACAGAGUUUUGACAUGUCAGGCAGGUGUGUGUCACCCAUACUCAAAUAGGUCCUGACUGCUGGCAAGCUGCCCUGCAACAGCUCAGUAUCCCAGUGUCUCCUGUGCCCGGGGACCUCUCCUUCCAGACAUCACUCCUAAUCCAUUUUUGUCCCUUGUAUCAAGUAGAAAGAAAUUUGACAGUAUAAAGAAAACAGAAAAACUUUAAACUUCUACAUUCUCUACUGAAUUAAUCAUCUCUGGCAGAUUUGUGGCUUCCUAUGACCCUUGAGUUUUACUGUCUGCUAGCACAUCAGGCACUGAUUUUCCUCUCUUUUUCCCCUACAGCAAGCAUUACAGUGAUCUUCUCAACGCUGACAGGGACAGGGCUUAUUUCCAGUAAAAGGGCACCAUACUUAGCUGUGCAGGGUAAGUGAGGUUAGGGGGAUAGGUGCAUGGGAAUAAUAAAGGCACAGAGGGCAGCAGACUUUCAAUAUGUUUGUGCAGUUAAAUGUAACAAGUUCAGACACUAUCAUUUAUUUUUUUUCUACUGUUCACCAAAAAAAAGCUCUUUAUGUUGUUUUCUCUCUGUGAGUGCUUUCGUAUUUUCCUUAACCUCUGCAUUGCAGUGCAGCUAGGCUGUGCACAUGAAGAUAGACUCCCUGCCCUGGGGAAGAUCCAAGAUAAGCAGAGAAGCGACAUACAAAUGGCAAGGGGGAGAGAGCGAUCUAAUCGCCUGGCCGCAAGCUCUGUGCAUUAAGAUAGUGAAGGCAUACACAGAAGAGGAAAGCUGCUUUCUGCUGGGAGAGGUGGAGCUUUUGAAACCAUAUGGCUGUGGUGGCACAGGGGACACCAUAUAGGGCUUCUGUUGGUGUUACAACACCCUCGGGCUGCUGAGCAAUGCACCUGUGAAGCUGAGGUGACCAAUUCUGCUCCUGCACCUUGUAGGAUGCUGUGGUGUGUGCCCAAGAGGAAGGAGGAGCUACCUUCCAUCUCAUUACAGGUACUUUAAACAUACAAAGUUUGUGAAUCUCCUGGCACCAAGCUCUAGUGGGGUGAUGAUGCUGUAUAAGAUUUCAGAGGUCUAACACAAACACAGUAAACUUCCUCUACAGUGAAUAUCUUGGCUUUGGAAAUUCUGGCCAGGGGAAAGAGGAGCAUUUGGCUUGACAUGUCUACUCUUCUGAUGGCUUUUUUUCAUCCUACUUUCUCACCGACACUUCUGAAAAGAGCUGUCAGAUCACAGCUGCCUGUUUCACACCUCUAUGGGUGAGCAAGGACAAGGGCAGUGGAGCCAAGCACUCAUACCUGGCUGCCACCCAGAUAGCCUGUGUGCACUUGGGCAAGUUGUCAAAUCCUCCACCACCCCUCCCCACCACGCCACAUUUAACAGAGCUCAUUUCUGAGCCCUCCAGGAUGUCUCCCCCUCUGCAGCCACUGCAGAACCAUCAGUCCAUGCUCCAAAACUUCAUGCACGUAACUGAAGAGCCUGGUAAACAUCUCAUUCCAAUCCUCACCUUUCUUUGUGGUCACAGGAUGGCCAGAGACAGGCACUUCCAAGUAAGACAAGGUGGGAUGUAAUGGUCUGGCAUGAGUCUGGGAUGAAGAUCCCCUUCUCUCAUUUCACAGCACCCGGUGAAAAGGUGCUGAAGCUGGGGAAUGGGUGUUUCAAUUUGCUGCCAAAGUGACUUUUGAGUUGGAGUGUCUUCAAUGAAAUGUCUGAGACAUGAUGGAGACUUUAUAUCCAUUUGUUGGGAGGAUUUUUCUAUCUGUUAUGAAACUCUUCACAAAUGCAACUUAAUUUCUUAGCCUUAUAAUAAAUUGUAUAUUCCUGAC